Molecule: ribosomal RNA, 106 nt
Filed under: Erinaceus europaeus (western European hedgehog)
Lineage: Eukaryota; Metazoa; Chordata; Mammalia; Eulipotyphla; Erinaceidae
Source: RNAcentral
AGAUACUGCCUUACCACCCUGAACACACCUGAUGUUGGAAGCUAAGCAGGGUCAGGCCUGGUUAGUAUUUGGAUGAGAGAGAGAGAAAAAGGGGGGUGGGUGGGUC